GCCAGCGUGGACUAGUGGUUUGAGUGUUGGAUUACGACUCUGGAGAUCUGGGUUCAAAUCCCCGCUCGAGUG
Non-coding RNA from Phrynosoma platyrhinos (Desert horned lizard), 72 nucleotides. The record is from the annotation of a GenBank genome assembly. Lineage: Eukaryota; Metazoa; Chordata; Lepidosauria; Squamata; Phrynosomatidae.